Non-coding RNA from Daucus carota subsp. sativus, 87 nucleotides. The record is from Rfam. NCBI's taxonomy places the organism in Eukaryota, Viridiplantae, Streptophyta, Magnoliopsida, Apiales, Apiaceae.
UGGCUGUGAUUAUAAAUUAUCCGCGCUUCUGAGAGCGAUCAGUGAAGCGAAAAGGAUAAAAAUGGUUGAAUUUCUUAAUAUGAGCCU